Hordeum vulgare subsp. vulgare (domesticated barley) is the source of this 398-nucleotide long non-coding RNA. RefSeq lists it as uncharacterized. Lineage: Eukaryota; Viridiplantae; Streptophyta; Magnoliopsida; Poales; Poaceae. The record is from RefSeq and is a predicted model, not a curated record. The transcript is spliced from 2 exons.
GGCCUGUAGGGAGGAAUGGCCACUAUACAACCUUGCUGCUGCUCGGGACGAAGCAACCAUGGAGCUUCCUCCUCCUCAUCUGGCUUCAGAUUCAAAAGAUAUAUGGAUGAUUAUAUGGGUGCGUUGCAAGUAUACUGCAAUGAUGAUGAUGAUGUUCUGGUCCAUGACGAUGACGAUAGAUGCCUUCAGUAUUUGUUAACUUGUGGGGAUGUUGUUCCUGUUGGAUGAUUUUCUUCAGCUAAGUUUUAGUUAAGUUGUAGGAGUGUUGACGGAUGCUUUAAGUUUAAUCUUCAUUGUAAAGAUUUUUUUAUUAUGCAUCACAUUUGGAUGAUGUUCUGCCUGUAAUAUCAACUAUUGUAAUCCAACAGUUUUAUUCAAUAUAUGGGUUCCUCCUCUCA